GUACUUGUAAAAGAGUUCGUAAUGGGGAUGGAUUAAAAUUCUAUCAGAGUAACAAUUGGAGGACAUGUCUGGUGCCAGCACCCGCGGUAAUUCCAGCUCCAAUAGUGUAUUUUAAAGUUGUUGCAGUUAAAACGCUCGUCGUCUAUUUAAAGGGUGCUUGCAGAGGUUCGAUAACUCCAACGCUCAAUAUCCUUGUUGAAUUUUUGGACAGGGGAAUUGGGUGUCUUCGACUUAGUUGGGGUAUCUUCCAGCUCCAAGUUUUCUGGCUCUUUAUCGGGUCCGUUUAUGCGGAGUGAAUUUUUAGCAAGUGCCUUGAAACCAAUAAAUCAACUGUGAGAAAAUCGGCGUGCUUAAGGCAGGCAAUGUUAUGAUUGCCCGAACGUUAUAACAUGGUAUUGAAAAUAAGCCAUCAGAAAUGGUGGUGUAAACAUUGGGAAGCCGGGAGAGGGUUCAGGCAUUGUGGCGUUAGAGGUGAAAUUCAAUAAACGUUGCAAGACUAGCAGACGCAAAAGCGGUUAGACCCAUCACAUUUCCUUCAAUCAGGAACGAAAGUUGGGGGAUCGAAGAUGAUUAGAUACCGUCGUAGUCCCAGCCGUAAACUAUACUGACAAGAGAUUGGCACGACACUUUUUUACCAGAUCCCCUCAGAAUCUAAGGGAAACCGAAAGUUUUUGAGUUCUGGGGGGAGUAUGGUCGCAAGGCUGAAACUUAAAAGAAUUGACGGAAGAGCACCACCAGGAGUGGAAUUUGCGGCUUAAUUCGACUCAACACGGGAAAACUCACUAGGUCCGGACAUUAAGAGGAGUGACAGAUUAAAGUUCUUUCAUGAUUUUCUGUAUGGUGGUGCAUGGCCGUUCUUAGUUCGUGGAGUGAUUUGUCAGGUUAAUUCCGAUAACGAACGAGACCUUAAUCUACUAACUAGGCUGUCAGUUUAUUCAAAUUGGCAUUUUAAACGAGGGGUUCACUCCGAGUUUAAUCAGCUUCUUAGGGAGACAAUACUGCGUUUCAAAAAAUUAGCGUAGGGAAGUUUGAGGCAAUAACAGGUCUGUGAUGCCCUUAGAUGUUCUAGGCAGCACGCGUAUUACAAUGUUAGUACCAACGAGUUUCUUGUAAACCUUCAGUUUAUACCUACUCUAUUAAAAAGAGGUGGGGAAUCUUUUCAACAACUAACGUGACAGGGAUAGCUGUUUGUAACUACAUCUUGAACGAGGAAUUCCUAGUAAGCGCAUAUCAUCAAUAUGCAUUGAUUGCGUCCCUGCUCUUUGUACACACCGCCCGUCGCUACUACCGAUGGAAUGAGAAGGUGAAUUUAACGGAUUGGGAAUAUUACGGUAAAUUUGAAAAAUUAACUGAACCUUCUUGUUUGUAGGAAGUAAAAGUCGUAACAAGGUCUCCGUAGGUGAACCUGCGGAGGGAUCAUAU
Nematostella vectensis (starlet sea anemone) is the source of this 1422-nucleotide non-coding RNA. Lineage: Eukaryota; Metazoa; Cnidaria; Anthozoa; Actiniaria; Edwardsiidae. The record is from Rfam.